AGCCAGAGCCGCCCCUGGCCCCCUAGCCUGGGAACAUGCUUAGAAGAUGACAAUUGGGCUCCCUUCGGCCGAAAUUCCACUCCUGUGGGGGUUCUGCCAAGGAAAACAAGCCCAAGAACCAGGCAUUAAAGUGAGCCGAGCGCUGGGAAUACGUGGCUAAUGAAGCAGACAGAAUCCCUGCCCCGGUGGAGCUGAGAAGGAAACAAACAAGGCGCUGUGCGCAGACCUCACCCAGCCCUCUCGGCGACCCCGUGAGGCCAGUCCUGUGAUCAUCCCGUUCUCCAGAAUGCAGCUCAGGGAGAAGUGCGAACUCCACGGCGACAGCGACAUUGACGGUCUUGUGUCUUGCUGUGUCCCAGUGCCUGACAUCAGGAAGUGCCCAGUGAAUAUUCAUGGACUGAAUGGAUUCUUUUUGUCCCUCAGCAUAAUUUGGUGAGGAUUUAGCUGGACCAGAGCUUACAACCUUCACUGCGGGGUCCAGCUAGAGAAGUGACUUACCCAAGGCCAUCCAACUCGUAAGUGGCAGGUUGGUAUGGCCCCAAAGUCUUUGAUUUUUCCCCUCUAUUCUCGGCCGCCCCUCUGGCAUUGAGGCCCCGCAUCAGCCACGUUACCGCUACUGGGCGUGUCCUUGGCUCCUAGCGUGUCCUUGGCUCCCUCUUGAUCGGGAGGCUCAGAGAGGUAAAGUGACUUGCCCAAGGUCACGCAGCAACUAAGGGUGUGAAUUCAGGUUUUUCCACGUCUGUGUUUUGGGUACUUUCUGCUACAGCAGCUCUGUGUCUCUCCCCUCCUCCUUGCCUCUUUUCGGCCAAUGCAGCCGCAGCUGAAAUAUGAGGCCGCGUGCAGCCUUCACAUCCCCAGGCUUGGCCCCCGCCGCCACCCUGGCUGGGUCGAAAGCACAGCGCCUGGUCCCACAUGCCUCAGGGAUGAGCUACGGAGAGUGUGACCAGGCCCAGCUGACACAUCUCAGAGCAGAUGUGGGUCGGCCUCCCACGGGUCCAGCUGGCCCCAGCCAAGUCUCAGCCCAUCCCCCACCCCCUACCCCCAGGGCGUGGUGCCGGGCCUUGUGGGGCAAAGGGGGGAAGAGAACAGUGGCUCCGAGAAGUCCACGUGAGGCACAGAAUAGGCAGCUCAGAGCUGGAACCAGGCCAGGGCCCUGGUGGUAUGCGAGAACACGAGACUGGCUCCCGUUGAGAACGCUCUGCCACCAGGGGCCAGCGGGGAUUUUAAAUCGAGAAAGCAGGUCAGGGUCCGACAAUCAAUAGUUACGCUUCCUUGACCUCAGUUUUGGAGAGACAAGAAGGAGCGGUGGGGACUGGGGCACACACCCUAAGCUGAGUUUGGCCCCUUGGGAAUGAGGACCCCGGGCAAUCAGAUCUUCAGACCCUCUGAUUUCCAAGGGGAGCUGGAGACAGAUUCUUAGAAAGCAUCUACACAUUUUUUAAUGGCUCCGUUCAUUAAAAAAUUCUCUGUGGGCCCAACAAAGCCCACCCGAGGGCCAGGUUCAGCCCCCUGGGCCUGCAGUCUGCACCCCAGGCCCAGCCUAAUAGGGCGGCCGGGGAAGCUCCUAAUCACAGCCCAAUCGUGAGUCAGGAUAUGGGGCCCGGACUGAGGCCAGGACCUCGAGCCAGCUGCUCUGAGGUACUUCGGAGAAGGUUCCUGUCAUCUGGCCCCCUCCUCCACCCCAUGGUGAGGGGGAUGAGCCUCCCCCUCCCGCCCGCCCCGCUCCGGCUGGCUGUGGGGGGAAGGAGCCUGGGCGGGACUAAGGUCUCCUUUCCCACGUGGGACACAGCUGUGGAUGUGUCUGCCAGGCAGAUCCUAAUUUCCCUCUCCCGUCCCCCAUGUCCCUGCAGCACCAGGAAGGAGGUGACUCCCUUCUUGGGCACUGAACCGUCCCCCGCAGCCCUGCCUUCACAGCAGCUCGUGUCCCUGCCCCACCCCUUGUGCUCCAAAAGUUACAGGCCUCCACAGGCAUCGCUGACUCUUCACCACGUCCCUUCGUGACCAAUUUCCAGAUGAGGAAACUGAGACUCGGAGGGAAAAUGUCUGGGCCAGGGCCCUCCAGCAAGCACACAGAGGACCUGCUCUCAAACACAGGCCUCACACACUUGACCAUGGGAACCUCACCCCGUCUCUUCCUGAUAGAACCCAGCCCAGGCUCGUGGCUCGGCCCCAGUGCGUCUUUCUGGUUUAUCUGACAAGCACCCAGGCCCUAGGCCCGGUGCCGCAUAUUUAGAAAUGAACAAAUAUCGGGGUGCCUGGGUGGCUCGGUCGGUUAAGCACCAGACUCCAUUUCGGCUCAGGUCAUGAUCUCACGAU
Prionailurus viverrinus (fishing cat) is the source of this 2316-nucleotide long non-coding RNA. RefSeq lists it as uncharacterized. The transcript has 4 exons. The record is from RefSeq and is a predicted model, not a curated record. NCBI's taxonomy places the organism in Eukaryota, Metazoa, Chordata, Mammalia, Carnivora, Felidae.